RNAcentral lists this ribosomal RNA (767 nucleotides) under Xeromphalina kauffmanii. Its description in RNAcentral is "eukaryotic LSU rRNA". It matches the Rfam family "Eukaryotic large subunit ribosomal RNA", at positions 64 to 816 of the family's 3401-position model. Lineage: Eukaryota; Fungi; Basidiomycota; Agaricomycetes; Agaricales; Mycenaceae. The record is from RNAcentral.
ACUAACAGGAUUCCCCUAGUAACUGCGAGUGAAGCGGGAAAAGCUCAAAUUUAAAAUCUGGCGGUCUUUGGCCGUCCGAGUUGUAAUUUAGAGAAGUGUUAUCCGCGCUGGACCGUGUACAAGUCUCCUGGAACGGAGCGUCGUAGAGGGUGAGAAUCCCGUCUUUGACACGGACCACCAGUGCUUUGUGAUGCGCUCUCGAAGAGUCGAGUUGUUUGGGAAUGCAGCUCAAAAUGGGUGGUAAAUUCCAUCUAAAGCUAAAUAUUGGCGAGAGACCGAUAGCGAACAAGUACCGUGAGGGAAAGAUGAAAAGAACUUUGGAAAGAGAGUUAAACAGUACGUGAAAUUGUUGAAAGGGAAACGCUUGAAGUCAGUCGCGUUGUCCGGGGAUCAACCUUGCAUUCGUGCUUGGCGUACUUCCCGGUCGACGGGUCAGCAUCAAUUUUGACCGCUGGAUAAAGGUCAGGGGAAUGUGGCAUCCUCGGAUGUGUUAUAGCCUCUGGCUGCAUACAGUGGUUGGGAUUGAGGAACUCAGCACGCCGCAAGGCCGGGUUUUUAACCACGUACGUGCUUAGGAUGCUGGCAUAAUGGCUUUAAUCGACCCGUCUUGAAACACGGACCAAGGAGUCUAACAUGCCCGCGAGUGUUUGGGUGGAAAACCCGAGCGCGUAAUGAAAGUGAAAGUUGAGAUCUCUGUCGUGGAGAGCAUCGACGCCCGGACCAGACCUUCUGUGACGGAUCCGCGGUAAAGCGUGUAUGUUGGGACC